AAAAUAUUGUUUUACAAUUAUUUUUUCCACUAGUUAUUCUAUGUUCCUUUUCUAAACAAAGCCUAACAUAGAAGAAAUGCAUAAUUGGAAUAAAGUCCACACAUCAGUUUUUUCUGUGAAUUUUGUUUUUGAGACUGUACGGAGAAUGAUGAGUAAAACCCAUGUCUUCCAGAUUUCCUCACAAUUUAUUUCCUGUUGAAAUUACAAGUAAAUGCAUUAAAAAUUAAUCAAGGAAAAUUUGUAUCAUAAAUGAGCUGUGGACGCAGAAGCCUUCAGGAGUUCAGAUGACCCCCAGGAGAGAGCCGGUACUACUUGAUUUCUCUAAUGUUUCUGUUUCUUCAAAAGCUCAGCUCUGUUCAAAAGAUUAUAUUGAAAGAACAAUAACUCAAGGAAGAGCUGGAAUUGCAAGUGCAAGGACCCGAGUUCAAUCCCUGGUAUAAAAAAAAAAAAAAAAAAAAAAAAAGAGCGGAAAAAUUAAAACA
Molecule: long non-coding RNA, 482 nt
Filed under: Fukomys damarensis (Damara mole-rat)
Lineage: Eukaryota; Metazoa; Chordata; Mammalia; Rodentia; Bathyergidae
Description: lncRNA (ENSFDAG00000032780.1)
Source: RNAcentral